RNAcentral lists this microRNA (21 nucleotides) under Monodelphis domestica (gray short-tailed opossum). Its description in RNAcentral is "mdo-miR-7262a-5p". Lineage: Eukaryota; Metazoa; Chordata; Mammalia; Didelphimorphia; Didelphidae. The record is from miRBase by way of RNAcentral.
AAGUUUUAUUGCAGUUUUAAG